CUACAUGCUGAAGGAUAUUUAAGGCCCAGCCUUAAGGAGGGAACUUGGAACUCUUUUGGCUGAGUUUCCACUGGUGCACACCAGUAAAAUAUACAGUCCUUUUGCCUGAUUGGAUUGUCUAUGGGUCUUCCUUGGUGGUGGGCGAAUACCUGGACCCUAACACAUGGAAGGACUGGAUCUUGAGAGGCAGAAAGGUGCUACAAAGUAUUUUAAGAACAGAGACACAAAAGUAA
RNAcentral lists this long non-coding RNA (233 nucleotides) under Monodelphis domestica (gray short-tailed opossum). RNAcentral describes it as "lncRNA (ENSMODG00000038608.1)". Lineage: Eukaryota; Metazoa; Chordata; Mammalia; Didelphimorphia; Didelphidae. The record is from RNAcentral.